CCCUUAGAUGUUCUGGGCCGCACGCGCGCUACACUGAUGCAUUCAACGAGUUUUUCCUGGUCCGAGAGGAAUGGGUAACCUUUUGAAAGUGCAUCGUGAUAGGGAUAGACUAUUGCAAUUAUUGGUCUUCAACGAGGAAUUCCUAGUAGACGUAGUUCAUCAGACUGCAUCGAUUACGUCCCUGCCCUUUGUACACACCGCCCGUCGCUCCUACCGAUUGAAUGCUCAGGCGAGCCAUUCGGACUUUCAUCAUGCUGGUUUCCAGUUUUGAUGAAGGAAAGUCUUGCGAACCUUAUCAUUUAGAGGAAGGAGAAGUCGUAACA
Molecule: ribosomal RNA, 323 nt
Filed under: uncultured eukaryote
Lineage: Eukaryota
Description: partial 18S ribosomal RNA
Rfam family: Eukaryotic small subunit ribosomal RNA
Source: RNAcentral